GGGGAUGUAGCUCAGUGGUAGAGCACUUGCCUAGCAUGUGUAAGGCCCUGGGUUCAAUACCCAGCACCACCA
This 72-nucleotide transfer RNA is filed under the name Urocitellus parryii (Arctic ground squirrel). RNAcentral describes it as "Spermophilus parryii (Arctic ground squirrel) tRNA". It matches the Rfam family "tRNA". From Rfam's summary of the family: Transfer RNA (tRNA) molecules are approximately 80 nucleotides in length. Their secondary structure includes four short double-helical elements and three loops (D, anti-codon, and T loops). Lineage: Eukaryota; Metazoa; Chordata; Mammalia; Rodentia; Sciuridae. RNAcentral also lists the same sequence under 1 other name. The record is from Rfam by way of RNAcentral.